Molecule: ribosomal RNA, 492 nt
Filed under: uncultured bacterium
Lineage: Bacteria
Description: partial 16S ribosomal RNA
Rfam family: Bacterial small subunit ribosomal RNA
Source: RNAcentral
AGUGAACGCUGGCGGUAGGCCUAACACAUGCAAGUCGAACGGCAGCACAGUAAGAGCUUGCUCUUACGGGUGGCGAGUGGCGGACGGGUGAGGAAUACAUCGGAAUCUACUUUUUCGUGGGGGAUAACGUAGGGAAACUUACGCUAAUACCGCAUACGACCUACGGGUGAAAGCAGGGGAUCUUCGGACCUUGCGCGAUUGAAUGAGCCGAUGUCGGAUUAGCUAGUUGGCGGGGUAAAGGCCCACCAAGGCGACGAUCCGUAGCUAGUCUGAGAGGAUGAUCAGCCACACUAGAACUGAGACACGGUCCAGACUCCUACGGGAGGCAGCAGUGAGGAAUAUUGGACAAUGGGCGCAAGCCUGAUCCAGCCAUACCGCGUGGGUGAAGAAGGCCUUCGGGUUGUAAAGCCCUUUUGUUGGGAAAGAAAAGCAGCAGGUUAAUACCCCGCUGUUCUGACGGUACCCAAAGAAUAAGCACCGGCUAACUUCGUG